UCGCUGCGGCCGCUCUCAGGGGAAACCGCCCGCGCACCGCGCGGACGGGCUCUGGGCCUGGGGGGUGGAACCUAUGCGGCUUUCCCUUCACAUCUUGCCCUCCCGGAGCUUGGCGGUGCUCCGGGGAGUCAACACAGGGGGAUAGAGCAGCUUUCCCUCACUAAAACCCAGUGCGGAGCCCUUCCCCUCCGCCCUGCAUCCUGUCGUGAGGCACAGAUGGUCCGUCCCUCCAUUCCCCCCUCGCGGUCCCCUCGCUGCCCGGCUGAUGCCUUUGUCCCUCCGCAGGGUGUCCCGAGGAUCCGGCGGGCCCUCGCCAUGCUCCCGCUGGGCAGCAGGCCGCGCGCGGCGGGCCCGGGCCGGCAGCAGCGCCGGCGGUCUGAGGGGCACACCGGGAUCCGCGCUCCUCCUGCAGCCUGGGGCGGAGGCCUCACUUAGCAACCUCGUGCUUGAAAUGUUUUAGACAUGGGUAGUCACACCUAAAUGUGAAGCAGUGCUCAGGACUUCUUAGGAAUCAAUGCCUUCUACUGGCAGGGAUGAAGAGAGCAUGUGCCAGGAACUGACAUUAAACAUCAGUUUGAUUUCCUGAGUGGAUGAUUUCUGACUUCAUACGAGAUGAUUCCAGUUGUCACCUCUUAAGUAUCAUCUUGGAAGUAGAAUUGAGACAAGCAAUGGCUUAAAUGGUAGAUCUUCAAUGAUCAUGUUGAAAUGGGCAUCUCACCAUUUGUUAAAACAGAUUUCCUAACAAAAAUUGCUGUAAUUUGACUGUUUGUGGAUUAAUUGAAAUAAAUUAUAAGAAUUAAUUAAAAUAAGAGUAUGCCACCCAAA
Passer domesticus (house sparrow) is the source of this 825-nucleotide long non-coding RNA. RefSeq lists it as uncharacterized. The transcript is spliced from 3 exons. Lineage: Eukaryota; Metazoa; Chordata; Aves; Passeriformes; Passeridae. The record is from RefSeq and is a predicted model, not a curated record.